CAGGACGAACGCUGGCGGCGUGCCUAAUACAUGCAAGUCGAACGGUCUUUCUAUGGAAGCUUGCUUCCACUGAGAAGAUAGUGGCGAACGGGUGAGUAACACGUGGGUAACCUGCCCAUAAGAGGGGGAUAACAUCCGGAAACGGGUGCUAAUACCGCAUAGUUUUCUUGAUCGCAUGAUUGAGAAAGGAAAGACGGCCUUUGUGCUGUCGCUUAUGGAUGGACCCGCGGCGUAUUAGUUAGUUGGUGAGGUAAUGGCUCACCAAGACGAUGAUACGUAGCCGACCUGAGAGGGUGAUCGGCCACAUUGGGACUGAGACACGGCCCAAACUCCUACGGGAGGCAGCAGUAGGGAAUCUUCCGCAAUGGACGAAAGUCUGACGGAGCAACGCCGCGUGAGUGAAGAAAGGUUUUCGGAUCGUAAAACUCUGUUGUCAGAGAAGAACAAGUUGGAGAGUAACUGCUCCGGCCUUGACGGUAUCUGACCAGAAAGCCACGGCUAACUACGUGCCAGCCGCAGC
This 520-nucleotide ribosomal RNA is filed under the name uncultured bacterium. RNAcentral's name for it is "bacterial SSU rRNA". It matches the Rfam family "Bacterial small subunit ribosomal RNA", at positions 25 to 518 of the family's 1533-position model. The record is from RNAcentral.